CUUCCCAUUUAUUUGCUGUAUUGUCUCUCAGUAACAUGAACAGUUGUAUUCAUAGGAUAAAAUAAUGUUGGCCCAUUGUAAACUGAGUUGAAGAAACUGCUUUUUCUCUGCUACAUGAUGUGGACAAUG
This 129-nucleotide small nucleolar RNA is filed under the name Chinchilla lanigera (long-tailed chinchilla). RNAcentral describes it as "Small nucleolar RNA SNORA20 (ENSCLAG00000018783.1)". It matches the Rfam family "Small nucleolar RNA SNORA20". Rfam says of the family: ACA20 is a member of the H/ACA class of snoRNA that guide the sites of modification of uridines to pseudouridines. The record is from Rfam by way of RNAcentral. Lineage: Eukaryota; Metazoa; Chordata; Mammalia; Rodentia; Chinchillidae.